UACGAAGGGGGCUAGCGUUGUUCGGAAUUACUGGGCGUAAAGCGCGCGCAGGCGGUCUUCCAAGUCAGUGGUGAAAGCCCGGAGCUCAACCCCGGAAUUGCCAUUGAAACUGUGAGACUGGAGUACGAGAGAGGUGAGUGGAAUUCCCAGUGUAGAGGUGAAAUUCGUAGAUAUUGGGAAGAACACCGGUGGCGAAGGCGGCUCACUGGCUCGUAACUGACGCUCAGGCGCGACAGCGUGGGGAUCAAACAGG
RNAcentral lists this ribosomal RNA (253 nucleotides) under uncultured bacterium. RNAcentral's name for it is "partial 16S ribosomal RNA". It matches the Rfam family "Bacterial small subunit ribosomal RNA", at positions 524 to 776 of the family's 1533-position model. The record is from RNAcentral.